UCGAAUUAUAAUCCGGCGAGGGCGAAGGGGGGAGCUGUCGCUGGCCUUUUACUAGGCAUGUGCACGCUUUCCUUCGAGUCUUCGCCUUAUGGGCGCGGGGCGACCCGCGUCUUCAUAUACCUCUUCGUGUAGAAAGUCUUUGAAUGUUUAUACUAUCAUCGAGUCGCGACUUCUAGGAGACGCGGUUCUUUGAGACAAAAGUUAUUA
RNAcentral lists this unclassified non-coding RNA (207 nucleotides) under uncultured Suillus. RNAcentral describes it as "sequence contains ITS1". Lineage: Eukaryota; Fungi; Basidiomycota; Agaricomycetes; Boletales; Suillaceae. The record is from RNAcentral.